UACGUAGGGUGCGAGCGUUAAUCGGAAUUACUGGGCGUAAAGCGUGCGCAGGCGGUUUUGUAAGACAGAUGUGAAAUGCCCGGGCUUAACCUGGGAACUGCAUUUGUGACUGCAAGGCUAGAGUGUGUCAGAGGGGGGUAGAAUUCCACGUGUAGCAGUGAAAUGCGUAGAUAUGUGGAGGAAUACCGAUGGCGAAGGCAGCCCCCUGGGAUAACACUGACGCUCAUGCACGAAAGCGUGGGGAGCAAACAGG
RNAcentral lists this ribosomal RNA (253 nucleotides) under uncultured bacterium. Its description in RNAcentral is "partial 16S ribosomal RNA". It matches the Rfam family "Bacterial small subunit ribosomal RNA", at positions 524 to 776 of the family's 1533-position model. The record is from RNAcentral.